This is a long non-coding RNA of Amblyraja radiata (thorny skate), 714 nucleotides long. RefSeq lists it as uncharacterized. NCBI's taxonomy places the organism in Eukaryota, Metazoa, Chordata, Chondrichthyes, Rajiformes, Rajidae. The transcript is spliced from 3 exons. The record is from RefSeq and is a predicted model, not a curated record.
GGGAUUCUUUGGGUGAUUAGUUCUAGGUCAGCUUGGAUGCCUGGCUUCACUGUGUGUGGGUUCAAACAACAGGCAGCAACAUCAUUAGCCAGCCCUUCAAAGAAAAGGCACACAAUGCCUCAUCCAAUUGCUAAGGGUGGAGAGCAAGCUCCCAUUCUUACAAAGAGAAACCUUGAGAAACUCUUGACUCCCAUCACACGCUGGAGGCAGGACCUCUGUUUAAGGGGCCAUGGAGAUCUUCUUGGCCCAUCUGCAAUGAACUGGCAGGAAGGUGCCGGGGAGGUCUUGGCUGCAGGCAACAUUGCCCGCAUUGGUUAACUGUGUUAAAAAAGGACCUCAUGACCUCAGACGAUUAAUCAAGGUAAAUAUCACCAAAGGUGGUGAUUAGGUGGACGUCUCUCCAGACUUAAGGGGAAAACCUACACGCAACGGGCGGAUUUGAAAGGAAAUGGUGGACCAGAUGCGUGCUGGAGCAAAAGAGCCCCAGGCACCAGAAGAAGCAGAGCUUUCUGAAAUCUGCUGGGUAUGAUUUCAUUGCACUUUAGCACAACCUCACUCAUUGGUACAGGUAUCUUCACCUGGUACAAUUGCAUCUACAACUAAAUCUUUACCUGGUCGGAUUGCAUCUACAAUCAAAGUGCAAUGUACAGCACCAUAUGUAUAAUUAACCAUUUUCCAUCAAUAGGAAUUAAAGUGGAACUUUGGCCUCAUGAA